This 442-nucleotide small RNA is filed under the name Cladosporium sp. 4 MU-2012. RNAcentral describes it as "eukaryotic LSU rRNA". The stretch from base 136 to 289 matches the Rfam family "5.8S ribosomal RNA". Lineage: Eukaryota; Fungi; Ascomycota; Dothideomycetes; Cladosporiales; Cladosporiaceae. The record is from RNAcentral.
CCGGGAUGUUCAUAACCCUUUGUUGUCCGACUCUGUUGCCUCCGGGGCGACCCUGCCUUCGGGCGGGGGCUCCGGGUGGACACUUCAAACUCUUGCGUAACUUUGCAGUCUGAGUAAACUUAAUUAAUAAAUUAAAACUUUUAACAACGGAUCUCUUGGUUCUGGCAUCGAUGAAGAACGCAGCGAAAUGCGAUAAGUAAUGUGAAUUGCAGAAUUCAGUGAAUCAUCGAAUCUUUGAACGCACAUUGCGCCCCCUGGUAUUCCGGGGGGCAUGCCUGUUCGAGCGUCAUUUCACCACUCAAGCCUCGCUUGGUAUUGGGCAACGCGGUCCGCCGCGUGCCUCAAAUCGACCGGCUGGGUCUUCUGUCCCCUAAGCGUUGUGGAAACUAUUCGCUAAAGGGUGUUCGGGAGGCUACGCCGUAAAACAACCCCAUUUCUAAGG